This 442-nucleotide ribosomal RNA is filed under the name uncultured bacterium. RNAcentral describes it as "partial 16S ribosomal RNA". It matches the Rfam family "Bacterial small subunit ribosomal RNA", at positions 338 to 795 of the family's 1533-position model. The record is from RNAcentral.
CCUACGGGUGGCUGCAGUGGGGGAUAUUGCACAAUGGGGGAAACCCUGAUGCAGCGACGCCGCGUGGGCGAAGAAGUAUUUCUGUAUGUAAAGCUCUUUCAGCAGGGAAGAAGACAUGACGGUACCUGAGUAAGCAGCACCGGCUAAAUACGUGCCAGCAGCCGCGGUAAUACGUAUGGUGCAAGCGUUAUCCGGAGUUAAUGGGUGUAAAGGGAGCGCAGGCGGAACGGUAAGCCUGAUGUGAAAGCCCGCGGCCCAACCGCGGGACUGCAUUGGGAACUACCGGGCUGGAGGGCCGUAGAGGUAGGCGGAAUUCAUAGUGUAGCGGUGAAAUGCGUAGAGAUUAGGAGGAACACCGGUUGCGAAGGCAGCCUACUGGACGGUGACUGACGCUGAGGCUCGAAAGCGUGGGGAGCAAACAGGAUUAGAUACCCGUGUAGUC